This 1104-nucleotide ribosomal RNA is filed under the name Triticum aestivum (bread wheat). Its description in RNAcentral is "partial small subunit ribosomal RNA". The record is from RNAcentral. Lineage: Eukaryota; Viridiplantae; Streptophyta; Magnoliopsida; Poales; Poaceae.
AUGAAGCUCCUUCCGACCGUCUUCCUUCUCCUCCUCGUCUUCCUUGCAUUGGAUGAUGUGGAGGCCCGAGGCACACCUAGGGCUCAUCGUUCCAAUCACCAGUGGUCCAGCAUGUUCGUCUUCGGCGACGACUUUGUCGACAACGGCAACGUUCCAAACAUCGUCGGUGAAAAGACGUCGCGGCAGUGGAGCUACCCCUACGGCUCUUAUCGCAACUCCAAUUGGUCUGGCGCUCCUGUUCCAACAGGACGCUUCUCCAACUACCGGAUGCAAUCUGAUUUUAUUGCAAGUAUGUUGGGCCUCGCUGAAGCCCCUCCAGCGUACGAGCUUACAUCAGACCAAUCUUGCGACUCCUCUGGCAUGACCUUCGCUGUUGGCGGCGCUGGUGUGUUCAAGGUGACGUCGACGGCGAAGAAGGUGCCGACCCUUGCUGCACAGGUUCAAGCUUUCAAGAGGCUAGUCAACGACGAUGUCAUCUCCACACGACAGCUUCACCACUCUGUCGCACUCAUCGCCAUCUCAGGCAAUGACUACAUGAGCGGCUCCGAGGCCAAUAAUGGAUUCUACUCAAGCUUCAAUGAUCUCGAUAUUUACAUAGGAAACGUGGCGACUGAGAUCCUAGAUAAUGUGGCGCAACUGCAGAUGCUUGGUGUGAGAAAGGUUCUAGUAAAUAACUUGCAUCCCAUUGGUUGCAUGCCUUCACAGACUAGUUCGAACAACUACACCACAUGUGACCUUCUUGGCAAUUAUGGUGCAUCGGUGCACAACAAGUAUCUAAACCAAAUGAUCGGAGAAAGGGACAACGUCCACAUACUGGACCUCUACUCUGCCUUCACCGACAUCGUGAAUCACGCCCCUGGUGAAGGGUCGGAUCGGUCCAAGGACUUCAAGCGCAAGCUGACCCCGUGUUGUGAGAGUUCCUAUGAGGGAGGGUACUGUGGGGAGCGUAGCAGUUCAGGGAAGCACCUCUACGACCUAUGUGAGAAUCCGGACAAGAGGUUCUACUGGGACGAGACACACCCAACACAUGCUGGGUGGGAGGCGGUAAUGGAGGCGCUGGAGCAACCUUUGAUGGAAUUUCUCGAUCAGGACUACGUUCCAUGA